Molecule: ribosomal RNA, 434 nt
Filed under: uncultured Oscillospiraceae bacterium
Lineage: Bacteria; Bacillati; Bacillota; Clostridia; Eubacteriales; Oscillospiraceae
Description: partial 16S ribosomal RNA
Rfam family: Bacterial small subunit ribosomal RNA
Source: RNAcentral
ACGGGAGGCAGCAGUGGGGGAUAUUGGUCAAUGGGGGAAACCCUGAACCAGCGACGCCGCGUGAGGGAAGAAGGUCGUUAGAUUGUAAACCUCUGUCGUUAGGGAAGAAAAUGACGGUACCUAACAAGGAAGCACCGGCUAACUACGUGCCAGCAGCCGCGGUAAUACGUAGGGUGCAAGCGUUAUCCGGAAUCACUGGGUGUAAAGGGAGUGUAGGCGGGAAAGCAAGUUGAAUGUGAAAUCUAUCGGCUCAACCGGUAGGCUGCGUUCAAAACUGUUUUUCUUGAGUGAAGUAGAGGCAGGCAGAAUUCCUAGUGUAGCGGUGAAAUGCGCAGAUAUUAGGAGGAAUACCGGUGGCGAAGGCGGCCUGCUGGGCUUUUACUGACGCUGAGGCUCGAAAGUGUGGGGAGCAAACAGGAUUAGAUACCCUGGUA